GCAGCUUGCUGAGAGGGUAGGGGCUUUCCCCCAUGCUUCCCUGCUGUUUCUUUGUGGCCGUGCUGGCCCCUCUGGUGUUUGCCCUGGAACAGUCUCCAGACAUGGUGAUAAAAGAAGGCCAGCCCGUGAAUCUGGAAUGUUCCGAGAAGAAAUCCUCCAGCGACACUAUGUACUGGUAUAUGCUGCCUUCAGAGAAGAAUUCCAGUCUGACCCGGGUGGUUUAUGCAUUUGCAGGUGGCACAGCAGUGGUGGAGAAGGGUUUUGAGAAUCAUUUCAAGAGCAGCAAUACAAAAGGAGACAGUAUCACCCUCUCAAUAGAACAUGCCUUUCUCAAUGACUCUGGCACGUACUACUGUGCUGAGAGUGAUCACAGUGGUGAGAGUGCUGAGAGAGCUGAGCACAAACUUGUCCCUGCAUAA
This is a non-coding RNA of Pyrgilauda ruficollis (rufous-necked snowfinch), 419 nucleotides long. NCBI's taxonomy places the organism in Eukaryota, Metazoa, Chordata, Aves, Passeriformes, Passeridae. The record is from the annotation of a RefSeq genome assembly.